CUUUACCAAGUGCCAGGCACUCUUCACGUGCAUUGUCUCGGGCAACCUGUAAACAGCCCAAGAGUUAGAUAAAAUUGCUGCCUCAUUCUACUGAGAAAAAGUUUGGUUUACCAUGGUUCAGCCUGGAGAUCCAGGAGUGAACAAGAUGAUGAAUGAUUGACAGGAGAGACAACAAGUUCCUGGCCUGCGUUUCACCCCAGUGGCCGAUGCAUCUGAAAUGCCUGCAGUUCUCAGCUCUUGAACAGAACUGAGGAGUCUUGAAAGAGGCCAUGGCAUGCCCUGUGGGGUCUCCAGGCAGCUUUGAUAGGCCCAGUUGGCAUUUGCUAUAAAAACUUAUUAAAUCCAGGCCUUUCUUCUGCAACUGAGACUCCAGAACAGCUGCCCCUGACAAACAAUAAAGAAGAGCUAUCGAAGUCACAUCAUGGGCUGGAACCAGAAAAGAAAAUAAUAAUAAAAAAAA
This 460-nucleotide long non-coding RNA is filed under the name Homo sapiens (human). Its description in RNAcentral is "HSALNT0386754". The record is from RNAcentral. Lineage: Eukaryota; Metazoa; Chordata; Mammalia; Primates; Hominidae.